RNAcentral lists this transfer RNA (62 nucleotides) under human gut metagenome. It matches the Rfam family "tRNA", at positions 6 to 65 of the family's 71-position model. From Rfam's summary of the family: Transfer RNA (tRNA) molecules are approximately 80 nucleotides in length. Their secondary structure includes four short double-helical elements and three loops (D, anti-codon, and T loops). Further hydrogen bonds mediate the characteristic L-shaped molecular structure. tRNAs have two regions of fundamental functional importance: the anti-codon, which is responsible for specific mRNA codon recognition, and the 3' end, to which the tRNAs corresponding amino acid is attached (by aminoacyl-tRNA synthetases). tRNAs cope with the degeneracy of the genetic code in two manners: having more than one tRNA (with a specific anti-codon) for a particular amino acid; and 'wobble' base-pairing, i.e. permitting non-standard base-pairing at the 3rd anti-codon position. The record is from RNAcentral. RNAcentral also lists the same sequence under 1 other name.
CAUAGCUCAGUCGGUAGAGCACCUGACUGUUAAUCAGGGUGUCACUGGUUCGAGUCCAGUUG